CAGGCCCUACGGGGUGCAGCAGGCGCGAAAACUUUACAAUGCUGGCAACAGCGAUAAGGGAACCUCGAGUGCCAGGUUACAAAUCUGGCUGUCGAGAUGCCUAAAAAGCAUUUCAUAGCAAGGGCCGGGCAAGACCGGUGCCAGCCGCCGCGGUAACACCGGCGGCUCGAGUGGUAACCGUUAUUAUUGGGUCUAAAGGGUCUGUAGCCGGCCGGAUAAGUCUCUUGAGAAAUCUGGCAGCUUAACUGUCAGGCUUUCAGGAGAUACUGUCUGGCUCGAGGCCGGGAGAGGUGAGAGGUACUUCAGGGGUAGGGGUGAAAUCUUGUAAUCCUUGAAGGACCACCAGUGGCGAAGGCGUCUCACCAGAACGGACCUGACGGCAAGGGACGAAAGCUAGGGGCACGAACCGGAUUAGAUACCCGGGUAGUCCUAGCCGUAAACGAUACUCGCUAGGUGUCGGCCACGGUGCGACCGUUGUCGGUGCCGUAGGGAAGCCGUGAAGCGAGCCACCUGGGAAGUACGGCCGCAAGGCUGAAACUUAAAGGAAUUGGCGGGGGAGCACCACAACGGGUGGAGCUUGCGGUUUAAUUGGAUUCAACGCCGGAAAUCUUACCGGGACCGACAGCAA
RNAcentral lists this ribosomal RNA (628 nucleotides) under uncultured Methanosaeta sp. RNAcentral describes it as "bacterial SSU rRNA". It matches the Rfam family "Archaeal small subunit ribosomal RNA", at positions 317 to 945 of the family's 1478-position model. The record is from RNAcentral. Lineage: Archaea; Methanobacteriati; Methanobacteriota; Methanomicrobia; Methanotrichales; Methanotrichaceae.